GAAAAUUGGUUCCCACAACCUUGUGUGAGGAAACAACCAUGCCUGCAACGUUAGGUCAAGAAACUCCUACCCUUCCUGCAACAUUGGGUGAAGAAGCUCAUAGUAUUCCCUCAACCUCGAGUGACGAAAAUCGUGGCAUUCCAACUAACUUGGAUGAAGAAACUCCUACUGAUCCUGUGACCUUGGCAGAGGAAAGCCCCAGUAUUCCUGAAACCUUGGAUGAAGAAACUCCAUCUGUUCCUCCAACAUUCAGUGAAGAAACUCCAGCUGUUCCUCCGUCAUACAGUGAAGGAACUACUAUUCCUCCUUCCUUCAACGAGGAAACUCCU
This 329-nucleotide long non-coding RNA is filed under the name Gossypium barbadense (sea-island cotton). Its description in RNAcentral is "long non-coding RNA (GBAR_LNC004558)". The record is from RNAcentral. Lineage: Eukaryota; Viridiplantae; Streptophyta; Magnoliopsida; Malvales; Malvaceae.